CUAUCACACAAGAUGUCUAUCCAACUAAGAAAUGCUUAAUCAUCUUUAGAUUGAUUUUCAUAUAUGAAACGAUGUGUAUUGAUUUUACUUGGUUCAAUGUUCAGUGGCAAGUAUUUCAUAUAUGCGCAGGUCCUGACACAAAAAAUCAAAUUAUUCCUUCACUUAUGGUCUUCAAAAAUAAACGAUUGCGGGAUGACGGACAGGAAGAUUUCAAACGUAAGAGUGUGAACUAGCUGUCAGUAACUUAAAGUACUCUCAGAUCUUUUCUUGCUAGUAUCUUUUUAUUGUUCUGGUAAACAAGUGAUUCUUUCAUUGUUGAAACCCUCUAGCGGCUAUAAAGAUGAACAGGAAUAAAAACGCUGACCAUUGAUAAUUUGUAUGUUUGUUAAGCAAUGACUUUGUGUGCGAUUAGAUCCCGUGUACGUUUAUACCAUAUUCCUUUAUUUUCUAUAAAAGCGUCUGUCUUGACAGUAAGUUGACACGACUUAAUACAAGUUAAACCAUUAAAUUUAAGACACCAG
Molecule: long non-coding RNA, 521 nt
Filed under: Mytilus galloprovincialis (Mediterranean mussel)
Lineage: Eukaryota; Metazoa; Mollusca; Bivalvia; Mytilida; Mytilidae
Source: RNAcentral